GUAGUGACUGCGGAAGGAUCAUACACACYWAAAUCUUUCCACGUGAACCGUUUUGAAGUUAGUUGGGCUGGUUGGGCGUCUUCGGAUGCUGGAUCGGCCAUCAAGAAGGUGCGCGCUAUGGUUUCGGUCGUCGCGCGUGUCUUUUUUUGUCAAACCCAUUUGCAAUUGAAACUGAUCAUACUGUGGGGACGAAAGUCUCUGCUUUUAACUAGAUAGCAACUUUCAGCAGUGGAUGUCUAGGCUCGCACAUCGAUGAAGAACGCUGCGAACUGCGAUACGUAAUGCGAAUUGCAGGAUUCAGUGAGUCAUCGAAAUUUUGAACGCAUAUUGCACUUUCGGGUUAUGCCUGGAAGUAUGUCUGUAUCAGUGUCCGUACACUAAACUUGCCUUUCUUGUGUCGUGUAGUCGGCGCGGGGAACGAGCAGAUGUGAGGCGUCUUGUCUUUUGGUAGACAAGUCCCUUUAAAGUCGGACGCGUAUCUUUGCGUGCGUGGAGUGCUGUUGGGCUGCGGGACGCGUCUGUUGACGAGUCUGGCGACCUUUGGCGCGGGCAUGCUUAGGCACUGUGUAUUGGCGGUAUGUUAGGCUGUGCUCUUUUGGGCGUGGCUUUGACAAUGCAGCUGAUGCGUGUGUGUCUUUGCGCUUGUGCUGUAUGGGUGAACCGGAUGGUCGAUGGGUUUUCGCGUGUUUCGUGUGUUCUUGGUGCUUUUAUUGCGUGUGGAGUGCGUCACCAUUUGGGAUUUUGUGCAUGUGGCGUGGUAGUUUUCUACUGCGUGGUGCAUCUCAAUUGGACCUGAUAUCAGACAAGAUWACCCGCUGACUUAGCAUAUCAUAGG
This 835-nucleotide ribosomal RNA is filed under the name Phytopythium vexans. RNAcentral's name for it is "eukaryotic LSU rRNA". RNAcentral also lists the same sequence under 1 other name. Lineage: Eukaryota; Oomycota; Peronosporomycetes; Pythiales; Pythiaceae. The record is from RNAcentral.